Molecule: long non-coding RNA, 5383 nt
Organism: Carassius auratus (goldfish)
Lineage: Eukaryota; Metazoa; Chordata; Actinopteri; Cypriniformes; Cyprinidae
Source: Ensembl
AAUAUCAAAAACAAAUCUUGCUUGUCAAGCACUUUGAACUACAAGUGAUUUGCACAUAUUUGAUGCACAUUUAAUUGGUGAUUUGAACAAACUCUCUAAGACUAAUUAUUAAAAUAUAGCACUGACACAUGAAGACAAAUAAACUCACAUUUCCUUCUGUAACUGAAUACAUUUUUAGUGAACCUGUAGAAUAGAAUAGAAUAGAAUAGAAUAGAAUAGAAUAGAAUAGAAUAGAAUAGAAUAGAAUAGAAUAGAGCUCAGCUUCUCCAGUGUCUCGCCCAGGUGAGCGCGUCACCUGAUCUUCCGUCUUUCACUCAUCUACGCUGCUGGCGACGCGACAGUUUUGAACCCAUUAUAGUCAACGACGUGAGUGACGUAGGCACCCAAUGGACCAAUCAGAAGGCUCUCAUUAUAAUCAGCGGAGCGCAGCCCGCUCACACGCGUCGCUGAUUAUCAAGGGAGUGCUGGAGUUUGUCGCGUCGCGUCGCUCGCUUGUAGCGUAUCAUGUGAUAGGGGCUGGAAUUUGACACCUCGGGGGUUCAAAACUCUCAUGUGUUUAUGGGACUUGAUUUUGGCAGUGCUCCUGCGUUUAGAGCAGAGAGCGCGUCUCGAGGAGCUGAACGCGUCCGAUCGAGCGUUUACUGCGCAUCUGGGUCAGUCCAGACAACACCAGUGAGCUCUGGACACAAGUUUACGUGAAAGACGUGGAUGUUCAGAAUUAUGCAUCUUCACUACAGGGAGAGGGCUAAAGGAAACAUUUUAAGGAAUACAUUUUCAUUAUCUGUGGAUUAUUUUCACUUGACUGUUUCUUAAUUUAUUUCACUCAAGUCCAUGACAGGAGAGGUCGAUCAGGACAGAAAGGAUGGAAAAGGGUGGAGGAGUCUGGAGACCUGCAUGGCUGCACCUGCCCGAUGUCACCUGAGGAACCGGAAGGUGAUGCUGCUUGUGUUUGUGUGUCUUCUGGGUCUCGUUGAUGGACAUUUCCUUCAGGAGGAGAAAGAAGAAUCCCGUCCUAGCAAGCUGAGAGCCUCUUCAACCUCUCCAAAACAUCCAGAACCAAAGAAAGAUCUAGAUGAGAGGCAGAGCCGAGCGCCAUGGGCACGACUGCACGGUCAGUACAUCCCUGACACUGUAUAACAAACCGGGGCUAGUUGUCACACUUUCUGCUUCAGUGAAUGAGCAAUGAGUGAUUGAAUUCUAAGAUGUUAAAGCUGUGAAAUAUGUUCAUUAUUAUUAUUAUUAUUAUUAUUAUUAUUAUUAUUGGCUCUGAAAAAAAAAAAAAAAAAUAUAUAUAUAUAUAUAUAUAUAUAUAUAUAUAUAUAUAUAUAUAUAUAUAUAUAUAUAUAUAUAUAUAUAUAUAUAUAUAUAUGAUAAUGCAAAAAAUAAAUAAAUUCAAUUUUGGCUGGAAUGCAGCUUUAUAUAAAUAAUGCAAUUUAUUCAAUUUAGAGUAAAGUUAGUGUCAUUAUCCAGCUCAAUUCAGUUCAGAUUUUGUUCUCAUUGGAUAGUGUCAGUCAAGUUAAAAUAAUAAUAUUACUAUAUUAAUUGUCUUUAAACCCCAGGACAAAAUGUAUCCUAAUUCCUAAUUUAUGACUGAGCUGUUUCAGAUGAACAGAUGAAGGUCUCAGUAAAGGUCUCAGUUACUGUAUGAUUCAUUAACUAUCAAUUUCGUCACGUUUUCUCAUUAUUCUUGCUUCACGGUGGAUUGCAGACUUAUAAGAGCAUUACUGCCACCCAUCUCUCAAGUGGACCAUUGAUACUCCCAAUUGAGACUGUAGAUUUUUGGAUGAACUAUCUCUUUUAGUUAUUAUUAAGUUUCUGUCUAACCUGUCAGAGCUUUGAAUACUUUGAGAAUAAUGUUGUACACUUGCUGUUACCUCAGACACUUCACAAAGAUCUAAUGGGUGAAUGCACGAAAACUGUCAAAAAUAUGUCCAGAUCAUAUUUAACCCGAUGUAAUAAUAUAUAUAUAAUCCAGUAUUUUAGAAAAAAAAAAAAACACUGCCAAACAUCAAUAGUUCUAGGUUUGGUUCUAUCAAUCUGUGCCCCCAAGAAGACUACGGAUCCAAUCUGUUUUAAACACUUGCACAUUUUAUUAAAUCUUUUCUGCUCAACUGCAGUAGGUCUAGGUCUGUGUAUUCAUGUUCAAUGCUGGCAAAUCAAAUCCUGCUCAAAAUACUGCUUUUAUGGUUUAGAAUGAUUUAGGUUAAGUCUAACCUGCAAAUGACAUUUUCAUAACAUUGUAUACAGAAUAUGUAUAACAUUUUAUUACUUAAGGUGAAAACAGUAGAAAAUCAGUAAAAAAAACCAGUAAAGAAAUCUUAGAAUAAUUUAGGAGCGUUCCAGUAAAGAGAAGUUGGGGGUUAUUGUUCUUAAAUGUGAUUACAAUUAAUGUCUCAAUGAAAUAUAAAUAGGACUCACUUUCUUGAUGCAAAAUAUGAUUUCUUCUUUCCUUCUGGUUUUUAGGAUGAAAUGUGGAUGUUUAUGUGACAUUCAACCUUCAACACUUUUUUUUUUGGUAUUUAUAGGGAACAUCUUUGUUGAAAUCUAAAAUGAUGUUCUUCUCAUCCUGUAAUUCUGUGUUAUGUCACAGUGACACAUUGCUUCAAGGCAAAUUCCUUGCAAAAUAUUCUAAUUUUCAUUAUGUUGACUGGAAAUAAAAUAUCUGUGCACAUAAUAAUGUAGAAACAAGUGGAAUGCAAACUUACCAUUAGUAUCUCUUGUGAGGACCAAUACAGUCUUAAGAUAUAGAAAUAUUUUCUCAGUAAUUAAUUCUUUGUAAGGCAGUUCUGAAAUAUAAUGCCGGCAUGUCCAUGUACUUUGUUGUAUGCAGUAUGAUAAACAUGAUCAGCAAUGGUUGAGCCACAAGCAGACAUGUUGAGCAAACAAACAUAGCCGUGUUUUUACAGAGCUACAGCCUCACAGUGUUUACACUCUUCAGGAAGUCAACCGUGAUAUUGACCAUUCUUCUGCCACUGAAUUAGACCCUGUUUUCAAAAACACUGCCAUCAAUGGAUGCUGACUGGCCGUUAAAAUACGCAAACAGCUAAAACGCAUAAUAUAUUAACAGAUGUGACAUGACAGCUACUGCUGGAGGUCUGCAAAGAAGAUACAUAAAACAAAGUUUAAAAAAUGUUUUUGAAAGAUGUCUUUUCUGCUCCCCAAGACUGCAUGUAUUUGAUCAAAAAUACGGUAAAAACUGUAAUAUUGCGAAAUAUUAUUACAAUUUAAAAUAGCUGUCUUCAGUGUGCAUAUAUUUUACAGUGUAAUUUAUUGCUGUGAUGCACAUAAGGAAUACUUUGUCUCUAAACCUUAAGAAAACCGGUAGUAUCUAUCAAGUAGUAGGACCAUUUUCUGUGUGAUAUUGUAAAAAUAUAUAUAUAUAUACACAUUACAGCAUCAACUGGGAUAAGACACUGAUGAGACACACAGAUGUUAUUCACACCCAGUGCAUUUGACAUGUUUUCUCUGGCUCAUGCAUGCGAUAGAAUAAUCUCAGCACGCUCUUCCUUAUCAAUUUUAUAUUCCUCUUCAAAUAAUCCAGAGCUCCUUCAUGCAGGUUUUGACACAGCAAACUGCUCCCUUGGAAGAUAAUUACUGCAGUUUUCGCCUGGAGAAAGUUUGAAUCAUGUUCUAAGGUUCUCCUUUCCUUGUGACUUUAAACAAAACUCUAUAAGCAUGAUGUGGCAUGUUGUGGGAUGUUUUUAGUGCUGCAUGCUGCAGUUGCAUGAGUUACAGUACAAUAGUAGUCCAGUGCGGUGUCAGUAAGGUGCACUGCAAACAGCAGGAGGAAUUUCACGCCGUGGAGAGACGUGCACACAUUACAAUCAGCUGCUGAGGCGUGAACCAGAGCCACUAGUGUUAUCACCUUUUUAAAUGCCAGUGUUACAUUACAGUGUUGGCAGGAAUUGAGACUAUUUUAAUGCAUCAGAGCCACAUGCCAGAAUCUGUAUUCUCUGGGGAAAUAGAUCAACCCAAAAUCUUUUACUCAUGUCAGCGUCAUUCCAACCAUGACUUUCUAUCUGUGAAACACAAAAGGUGGUUUUUUUGUGUAGAAAAUGGCCACUGUUUUCCAUAUAAUGAAAGUGGAUGCUUCAAAAAAGCAAAAUAGCAUGAAACUGUGAUACUGUAAGUAGCCAAUGUACAGGUGCAUCUCAAUAAAUUAGAAUGUCGUGAAAAAGUUCAUUUAUUUCGGUAAUUCAACUCAAAUUGUGAAACUCAUGUAUUAAAUAAACUCAAUGCACACAGACUGAAGUAGUUUAAGUCUUUGAUUCUUUUAAUUGUGAUGAUUUUGGCUCACAUUCAACAAAAACCCAACAAUUCACUAUCUCAACAAAUUAGAAUCAGCUAAUCAACUCAAAACACCUGCAAAGUUUUCCUGAGUCUUCAGAAUGGUCUCUCAGUUUUGUUCACUAGACUACAUAAUCACGGGGAAGACUGUUGAUCUGACAGUUGUCCAGAAGACAAUCAUUGACACCCUUCACAAGUAGGGUAAGCCACAAAAAUUAAUUACCAAAGAAGCUGGCUGUUCACAGAGUGCUGUAUCCAAGCAUGUUUAACAGAAAGUUGAAUGGAAGGAAAAAGUGUGGAAGAAAAAGAUGCACAACCAACCGAGAGAACCGCAGCCUUAUGAGGAGUGUCAACCAAAUCCAUUCAAGAAUUUGAGUGAACAUCACAAAGAAUGGACUGAGGCUGGGGUCAAGGCAUCAAGAGUCACCACACACAGACAUUUCCAUGAAUUUGCUGAACUACAGACAACGUCAGAGGCUUCUUACCUGGACUAAGAUGUUGACCAGUGGUCCAAAGUCCUCUUUUCAGAUGAGAUCAAGUUUUGUGUUUCAUUUGGAAACCAAGGUCCUAGAGUCUGGAGGAAGGGCGGAGAAGCUGAUAGCCCAAGUAGCUUGAAGUCCAGUGUCCACAGUCUGUGAUGAUUCGGGCUGCCAUGUCAUCUGCUGGUGUUGGUCCAUUGUGUUUUUUGAAAAAGUCAAACACAAAGUCACUGCAGCCAUUUACCAAGAACUUUUGGAGCACUUCAUGCUUCCUUCUGCUGACCAGCAUUUUGAAGAUGCUGAUUUCAUUUUCCAGCAGGAUUUGGCACCUGCGCACACUACCAAAAGCACCAAACAUUGGUUAAAUGACCAUGGUGUUGGUGUGCUUGACUGGCCAGCAAACUCACCAGACCUGAACCCCAGAGAGAAUCCAUGGGCUAUUGUCAAGAGCAAAAUGAGAAACAAGAGACCAAACAAUGCAGAUGAGCUGAAGACCACUGUCAAAGAAACCUGGGCUUCCAGACUACCUCAGCAGUGCCACAAACUGAUCACCUCCACGCCACGCUGAACUGAGGCAGUAAUUAAUGCAAAAGUAGCCCCUUUCAGUUAUUGAGUAC